This 270-nucleotide ribosomal RNA is filed under the name uncultured bacterium. RNAcentral's name for it is "partial 16S ribosomal RNA". It matches the Rfam family "Bacterial small subunit ribosomal RNA", at positions 29 to 281 of the family's 1533-position model. The record is from RNAcentral.
AACGAACGCUGGCGGCGUGCCUAACACAUGCAAGUCGAGCGAGAAAGGGACUUCGGUCCCGAGUAAAGCGGCGCACGGGUGCGUAACACGUGGGUAAUCUUCCUUCAGGUCCGGAAUAACUCUUCGAAAGGAGAGCUAAUGCUGGAUAAGCCCACGGCCCCUUCGGGGGCUGUGGGAAAAGAUGGCCUCUGCAUGCAAGCUAUCUCCUGUAGAUGAGCCCGCGGCCCAUCAUGCUAGUUGGCGGGGUAACGGCCCACCAAGGCGACGACG